RNAcentral lists this long non-coding RNA (372 nucleotides) under Phaseolus vulgaris (common bean). RNAcentral's name for it is "long non-coding RNA (PVUL_LNC000200)". Lineage: Eukaryota; Viridiplantae; Streptophyta; Magnoliopsida; Fabales; Fabaceae. The record is from RNAcentral.
UUAAAAGACCUGUUUGAUGAAGCAGGUCGAGUGGAGCGUGUUUAAGCCAGCAACUGAGUUGCAGUUCGUUGCUUGAAGGAUAUUUUUACGAUAAGGUUAAUUGCCUUAAGGUUACGAAUUGUUAAGUGUUUGUUGCUUAGGGCUGAAGUGAUCCGAAGCGGUUAAGUCAAAGUUUGUACCUACCGUUUUCCUAAGUCAUUUCUUUGAAAUGAAACAAGCAAGGAAAGUUGAAGCGAGUGAAGAAGUUAUAAAGGGAAAAGCGUAAACCUUUGUCAUUAACAGAUAGCAAUGAAUAACAGUUUAGAGCAUAUAUACGAGGGGACAUAAAAGUUUAUUACAAGUUAUAAUACAAGGGAAAGCACAAGAGGUGGC